Drosophila willistoni is the source of this 611-nucleotide long non-coding RNA. RefSeq lists it as uncharacterized. The transcript has 2 exons. NCBI's taxonomy places the organism in Eukaryota, Metazoa, Arthropoda, Insecta, Diptera, Drosophilidae. The record is from RefSeq and is a predicted model, not a curated record.
UGUCUGGAGGAAUUUUUAUUUGUCAGCUGAUUGCUGAAUGCACCUUGCAAUUGAAUGAAGGAAAGGGAAACAAUCAGCUGGCAUUACUCAUUAUUCAUUUUAUAGGUACUUGAAUGAAGAAAAGAAGGAGGAGGAAAAGAAUAUUUAAGACCGCUAAUCAUUUAACGCCCCAAAUUGCAGUCACGCCCACACACACACACACACACACCUAGAGAAAAAGAGUCACACACACACACACUCAAAUAUAACGUCAAAAUUAUAACAGAACAUGCCGCUAGAAUCCUAUUAAGGACUAAUUGUUGGCGACUUCUGUGCCUCUGCCUCUGUGUGGCGCAACUAGUAGACCAGUAGCAGCAGCGGCGGCAAGCAGCAGAUGAGAGAGCAAGAGCCUUGCCUUAAAAGCAUGGGGCAAUAAUCGAUUACAAAAAAAAAAAAAAAAAAAACCGAACAACUAACACACAUCUGUGCCGCAGGGAAGGAGCAUUGAGAAGAGGAAGAUGUUUGGUUCAUUCAUGAUGGCGUUGCCAGAUGGUCAAGAGCAGCAAUCUUGUAACUUUUGAAUCUUUUCUAUGUCCAGCGAAUUAAUUAAAACAUAAACUGUUUAAUCAAUA